RNAcentral lists this ribosomal RNA (279 nucleotides) under uncultured bacterium. Its description in RNAcentral is "partial 16S ribosomal RNA". It matches the Rfam family "Bacterial small subunit ribosomal RNA", at positions 506 to 784 of the family's 1533-position model. The record is from RNAcentral.
UGCCAGCAGCCGCGGUAAGACGAACCGGACGAACGUUACUCGGAAUCACUGGGCUUAAAGAGUACGUAGGCGGCCAGGUAAGCGAGGUGUGAAAUCCCACGGCUCAACCGUGGAACUGCGCUUCGAACUACUUGGCUUGAGGGAAGCAGAGGUAAGCGGAACUGAUGGUGGAGCGGUGAAAUGCGUUGAUAUCAUCAGGAACACCAGUGGCGAAGGCGGCUUACUGGGCUUUUUCUGACGCUGAGGUACGAAAGCUAGGGUAGCGAACGGGAUUAGAUA